Long non-coding RNA from Octopus sinensis (East Asian common octopus), 1009 nucleotides. RefSeq lists it as uncharacterized. The transcript has 3 exons. The record is from RefSeq and is a predicted model, not a curated record. NCBI's taxonomy places the organism in Eukaryota, Metazoa, Mollusca, Cephalopoda, Octopoda, Octopodidae.
CUGACAAUUUUUGAGAGUUUUGUUCUCAGUAAUAUUUGGACGGUUUAUGAAGCUGCACAUAAUAAGUAUUGCCACGUGAGUUACUUUCAAAGGGAUUCUGAACGGUUCAGUCGAAUUGCAAGAAGAGUGGUAAUGUCUGAUAAAGUUAACUUUGUGGGGACCUUUGACGUGUCUCUACUAAUGUCGAAUUGGCUGCCUCUUUAUAAAUCUGUGUUCGGUUCUUUGUGGUUUGGGUGUUUUAGAUGUUGUUGUUGAGUUUUUGCCUUCGCCCUUGGAUUUGGACUGUCGUAGGGUUAGUAGGCUAUUGGGAGGAAGAGAGGUGUCUGGUGAUGUGAUGGAUGGUGUAUUGUUUUAUUCAAUGUGUAGAAUUGACUAAUAUUACUCCUAAUGGGAAUAGUUUGGUUGCUUUUAUGAGCAAACUAGUUUUCGUCCCACUAAACGAACUCCCACGAAAAUAUCAAAUAUUGGUUAACCAAACGGAAUCAAAUAUUGUUGAGUUUUGUAUUGGUUUUACGCGGUCAUUUUGUGGGACAAUUCGAAAGGGGGACUCUCUGUUUAUUUUGGGACCAAAACAUGACAGUCGACUGAUUGAGGACUCGUCCACACUCCCUGUCUCAUAUAAGCAUGGAAAGAAGAUUAAAAUAGAGAAUUUGUUUAUUUUUAUGGGCCGGGAACUGAUUCCUGUCGACAUGGUCAGUCCGGGGAAUAUUUUUGGGUUCUCAUGGAGUGAGUCAAGUCGAUUUAUGAAGACGGCCACAUUGUCAGACAGGGCAGAUCUCCCCCCUUUGACUCCCCUCUACUACGAGACAACUCCCAUUCUGGCAGUCUCGGUGGAGCCUGAGAAUAUUGGUGGUCCCAUUGCCCUCAUUGUAGACGAUAUGAGUGCUCUGAAGGAGGGGCUCGAGUUGCUGUAUUUGUCAGACCCCUGUGUGGAGACACACGUGACUAAUUUGGGGGAACAGGUCAUCAGAGUGGCUGGGCAGUUGCAUCUGGACAAGUGCAUUGAGGA